Molecule: long non-coding RNA, 619 nt
Organism: Strigops habroptila (Kakapo)
Lineage: Eukaryota; Metazoa; Chordata; Aves; Psittaciformes; Psittacidae
Exons: 3
Source: RefSeq, a predicted model, not a curated record
UUAGCACAAGACAAAUUGUUAUACGUAAUUGAACUCUGUUAUGAGGCAAAAUAAUGUAGCAUUUUUUCUAAACCUUGUGGUAGUAUUUGGUUUGAUUUAGGAAAUAAAAAAGUGACACAACUUCACCUAAUGAAAUGAAGAUUCUCAUCCAAAUGAAGUGUUCUACGCCUUGAGAGAUCUGAUUAACUCCUCACUUGUGAAAGGAUGUGAUAUACCUUUUCAGGUACCACAUAGCAAGAUCAGUUCACUGAGACAGUACUGCUGGCAAGAAGACUAUUGAAGUUAUACAAAAAUGAGUGCAUGGUGGAUUAUAAAGAAGCGGAAUGAAGCUGAUGAGGUUUAUACUGCAGCAGUUUAUUCCAUAACAGGACCCCGGACAAGUUCUUCGCAUACACAAGCCUCAUCAUCUUUUUCAAUGCUAUGAUCUAUUGCUAUUGUAGCUGUUGAUGGAGAUCAGUGACUGAAUUCUAAGCCAUUGCAUUUACAAGUGACUGGUGGGAAGACAGACUUGUAAAGAUGUAAAUCAGUGUCCUACUGAUGGCACAUUCCAAGAUUAAAUUUUCAAGAAAAAGCAAGGUCAUAUAUUGCAUCUUUGUUUAGAAAACAUAAAAUCAAAACU